This 155-nucleotide ribosomal RNA is filed under the name uncultured bacterium. RNAcentral's name for it is "partial 16S ribosomal RNA". It matches the Rfam family "Bacterial small subunit ribosomal RNA", at positions 337 to 484 of the family's 1533-position model. The record is from RNAcentral.
UCCUACGGGAGGCAGCAGUGGGGAAUCUUCGGCAAUGGACGCAAGUCUGACCGAGCAACGCCGCGUGAGUGAUGAAGGUUUUCGGAUCGUAAAACUCUGUUGUUAGAGAAGAACAAGAGAAGUAGUAACUGGCUUCUCCUUGACGGUAUCUAACC